CAAGGUGAAUUGAUCAUACCUCA
RNAcentral lists this non-coding RNA (23 nucleotides) under Arabidopsis thaliana (thale cress). Lineage: Eukaryota; Viridiplantae; Streptophyta; Magnoliopsida; Brassicales; Brassicaceae. The record is from RNAcentral.